Molecule: ribosomal RNA, 253 nt
Filed under: uncultured bacterium
Lineage: Bacteria
Description: partial 16S ribosomal RNA
Rfam family: Bacterial small subunit ribosomal RNA
Source: RNAcentral
UACAGAGGGGGCUAGCGUUGUUCGGAAUUACUGGGCGUAAAGGGUGCGUAGGCGGCCUGCCAAGUCGGGUGUGAAAUCCCGGGGCUUAACCUCGGAAUUGCACUUGAAACUAGCAGGAUUGAGGACGAGAGAGGAUAGUGGAAUUCCUAGUGUAGGAGUGAAAUCCGUAGAUAUUAGGAGGAACACCAGUGGCGAAGGCGGCUAUCUGGCUCGUAUCUGACGCUGAGGCACGAAAGCGUGGGGAUCAAACAGG